GAUCCUUGCAUCAACACCGUGUGCUUUGGGUAAACCAUAUUCUGCCUCAUUAUGCCAAGGAUGCAGGCGUGGCCCUCAGGCUGAGCUUCUGCUUUGCUUUCCCAACCAGCACCACUCGCCAUCCUCGGGGGCAAGCCUAAUGCUUAUCAUCGAGUUCCCCCAGCAUUCACACCCUGCAGCGAGCUUUGGAUCUUACCACAUGGAUUUGAGGAGCGCUAAAGACGCCUCAUGUUUGCAGGGAUCACACAGAACUGGGUGUUGUUUUGGCCAAUAAAUAGUCACUUAUGG
This 288-nucleotide long non-coding RNA is filed under the name Rattus norvegicus (Norway rat). Its description in RNAcentral is "long non-coding RNA NONRATT019914". Lineage: Eukaryota; Metazoa; Chordata; Mammalia; Rodentia; Muridae. The record is from RNAcentral.